UCCUGAGUAAAGUGGCGCACGGGUGAGUAACACGUGACUAACCUACCCUUGAGUGGGGAAUAACUUCGGGAAACCGAGGCUAAUACCGCAUAACACCUACGGGUCAAAGGAGCAAUUCGCUUAAGGAGGGGGUCGCGGCAGAUUAGUUAGUUGGCGGGGUAAUGGCCCACCAAGACAGUGAUCUGUAUCCGGCCUGAGAGGGCGCACGGACACACUGGAACUGAAACACGGUCCAGACUCCUACGGGAGGCAGCAGUGGGGAAUUUUGCGCAAUGGGGGAAACCCUGACGCAGCAACGCCGCGUGGAGGAUGAAGUCUCUUGGGACGUAAACUCCUUUCGAUCGGGACGAUAAUGACGGUACCGAGAGAAGAAGCCCCGGCUAACUUCGUGCCAGCAGCCGCGGUAAUACGAGGGGGGCGAGCGUUGUUCGGAAUUAUUGGGCGUAAAGGGUGCGUAGGCGGUUCGGUAAGUCUUGUGUGAAAUCUUCGGGCUCAACUCGAAGUCUGCACGAGAAACUGCCGGGCUUGAGUGUGGGAGAGGUGAGUGGAAUUUCCGGUGUAGCGGUGAAAUGCGUAGAUAUCGGAAGGAACACCUGUGGCGAAAGCGGCUCACUGGACCACAACUGACGCUGAGCA
This 636-nucleotide ribosomal RNA is filed under the name Silvibacterium sp. RNAcentral's name for it is "bacterial SSU rRNA". It matches the Rfam family "Bacterial small subunit ribosomal RNA", at positions 84 to 753 of the family's 1533-position model. Lineage: Bacteria; Pseudomonadati; Acidobacteriota; Terriglobia; Terriglobales; Acidobacteriaceae. The record is from RNAcentral.